This 292-nucleotide ribosomal RNA is filed under the name uncultured bacterium. RNAcentral describes it as "partial 16S ribosomal RNA". It matches the Rfam family "Bacterial small subunit ribosomal RNA", at positions 505 to 796 of the family's 1533-position model. The record is from RNAcentral.
GUGCCAGCAGCCGCGGUAAUACGGAGGGUGCGAGCGUUGUCCGGAAUCACUGGGCGUAAAGGGCGCGUAGGCGGUUCCUCAAGCGUGUGGUGAAAGUCCGGGGCUCAACCCCGGAUCGGCCGUGCGAACUGGGGGACUCGAGCACUGUAGAGGCGGGUGGAAUUCCGGGUGUAGCGGUGGAAUGCGUAGAGAUCCGGAAGAACACCAGUGGCGAAGGCGGCCCGCUGGGCAGUGGCUGACGCUGAGGCGCGACAGCGUGGGGAGCAAACAGGAUUAGAUACCCUGGUAGUCC